GCGUCGGUAGUGCAACGGUUUAGCACGCACCUAGGGAUAGGGUGAAAUGUGGGUUCGAAUUCCACAUGACGCA
Parelaphostrongylus tenuis is the source of this 73-nucleotide non-coding RNA. NCBI's taxonomy places the organism in Eukaryota, Metazoa, Nematoda, Chromadorea, Rhabditida, Metastrongylidae. The record is from the annotation of a GenBank genome assembly.